RNAcentral lists this ribosomal RNA (421 nucleotides) under uncultured bacterium. RNAcentral's name for it is "bacterial SSU rRNA". It matches the Rfam family "Bacterial small subunit ribosomal RNA", at positions 357 to 770 of the family's 1533-position model. The record is from RNAcentral.
GGGAAUCUUCCACAAUGGGCGAAAGCCUGAUGGAGCAACGCCGCGUGGGUGAAGAAGGUCUUCGGAUCGUAAAACUCUGUUGUUAGAGAAGAACAAGGAUGAGAGUAGAACGUUCAUCCCUUGACGGUAUCUAACCAGAAAGCCACGGCUAACUACGUGCCAGCAGCCGCGGUAAUACGUAGGGGGCUAGCGUUAUCCGGAAUUACUGGGCGUAAAGGGUGCGUAGGUGGUUUCUUAAGUCAGAGGUGAAAGGCUACGGCUCAACCGUAGUAAGCCUUUGAAACUGGGGAACUUGAGUGCAGAAGAGGAGAGUGGAACUCCAUGUGUAGCGGUGAAAUGCGUAGAUAUAUGGAAGAACACCAGUGGCGAAAGCGGCUCUCUGGUCUGUAACUGACGCUGAGGUUCGAAAGCGUGGGUAGCA